GGUUGAAUUGAAACAAUCUCGAUGUCAGCAGCACACCACCGCACCACACCACCUUUGAGUCCAUGCCAAAUACUCUCAAUCACCUUUCAAUUAUUUCAAUUCGAUAUAUCCUCAUUCAAAGCCAUAGAAACCUGAUGGAGAUCUGCUCCAAUAUUCUGAUGAGAAAACUGAGUUUAGAUCGUGGAGUCUUGCGAACAGGGGAUUCAGUAGCAAACACUGUAGACAAAGCCAAAUACCGGAGAAGAAGAAUCAACAAGAGCGGAAGCCAUGGAUACGGAUCAAGAAGCUCUGAUACCAUGAGGAGAGAAAACUGAGUUUAGAUCUCAAACGCCUUCCCUUUGCUGUAGGGGAGUACAUCCACUUUAGAUUCAAAUAGAUAUGGGCAUGUAGUAAUUGGAUGCAGAAGAACUUCAAAAAACAAUCAAAAUAGUACAUGCUUGAAGUAGGGUUUUAAAGCGUGGGAGCGCAUCUGCCUCAAUAACUCUCUACAAAGAAAAUCAAAAGUUAGCUAUGAUUUAAUCAAGUCACUGUUGGGAUCCCCAAUAUGUAAUACUCAUUAAAAUGUAAUACUCGAUAAAAAUGUAAUACUCUCUACAAAGAAAAUCACAAGUUAGCUAUGAUUUAAUCAAGUCACUGUUGGGAUCCCCAAUAUGUAAUACUCGAUAAAUUAAUGCCCCCAAUUCUAUAUGUAAUAACCUCCAUUUCCAUUGUGGCGCCUCGCUUUGCCCCCCAUUCUAUAUGUCACAAAAUAUCACCUAAUGUAACGAA
This is a long non-coding RNA of Lotus japonicus, 768 nucleotides long. RefSeq lists it as uncharacterized. The transcript is spliced from 3 exons. NCBI's taxonomy places the organism in Eukaryota, Viridiplantae, Streptophyta, Magnoliopsida, Fabales, Fabaceae. The record is from RefSeq and is a predicted model, not a curated record.